RNAcentral lists this ribosomal RNA (267 nucleotides) under uncultured bacterium. RNAcentral's name for it is "partial 16S ribosomal RNA". It matches the Rfam family "Bacterial small subunit ribosomal RNA", at positions 86 to 354 of the family's 1533-position model. The record is from RNAcentral.
UGCCGGCGACCGGCGGACGGGUGCGUAACGCGUAUGUAACCUACCUUUGACAGGGGGAUAACAUCGAGAAAUUGGUACUAAUACCCCAUAACAUCACCGGAGGCAUCUUCGGUGGUUGAAAACUCAGGUGGUCAGAGAUGGACAUGCGUUGUAUUAGCUAGUUGGUGAGGUAACGGCUCGCCAAGGCGACGAUACAUAGGGGGACUGAGAGGUCAACCCCCCACAUUGGUACUGAGACACGGACCAAACUCCUACGGGAGGCAGCAG